UGGUUCUGGCAUNGAUGAAGAACGCAGCGAAAUGCGAUAAGUAAUGCGAAUUGCAGAAUUCCGUGAGUCAUCGAAUCUUUGAACGCACAUUGCGCCCCUUGGUAUUCCGGAGGGCAUGCCUGUCCGAGCGUCAUUAUCUAUCUCAAGCCCUAGCUUGCUGUUGGGGUCACCGCAAUGGUGUCUCUAAAACACAGCGGCGGCACCGCUAUGGUCGCGACGCAACGAGCUUCGGCACGCGUCUCGCCUAGAGUGGUCCGCCCAUUCAAACCCAUGAGUUGACCUCGGAUCAGACAGGAUUACCCGCUGA
Molecule: unclassified non-coding RNA, 307 nt
Filed under: uncultured fungus
Lineage: Eukaryota; Fungi
Description: partial contains 5.8S ribosomal RNA and internal transcribed spacer 2
Rfam family: 5.8S ribosomal RNA (bases 1-133)
Source: RNAcentral